UACCUGAAAAAAUAUUGGUAUUAUUUUGCCAUCCAAAGCAGGUGAAGUGAAUAUUUAUGAGUUUGAAAGCUGCGCCUCACCAAAUUUGUAUUGAAAACUAUUUCAACACUAAUUUUCAACGCUUUUUGUACACAUUGAAUUUGUGCCAUUUUUUAUUUUCUUUAAUAUUUAACGAAAGAAGGCUAAUAAUCUUUAAAUAAGGCACGCACGCAUUUUUUUAAUACUACUUUUUUUUACAUAUUUUUUUCAAAUUAAAGAACACAAACUGCAUGAUUUCUAACAUAAACAACUAUUAAAUCUAUCUUUAAAGUAUUUUCAAAUAUAAUUUCAUAUUUAUAUAAAGAACGUAAAGAACUUUAUGAUGUAGUAAGUUACGUAAUAUAUGAUAUCCGACAUGUUUGAAAAUGGAACUGAGAAGCGGAAUAAAUAAGAUUUAAAUAACAUAAGAACAAUGAAUGUUUAUAUUAAAAAUAUCCCAUUGUCUAUGUUUCUAUUGUGUGAUGUUAAAUUGCGCCGUUUAAUCAGUCUUAAUUCGGAUAAAGGUGGGAUUGAAUCUGUGGGAUUCCUCCACUAGCACUAGCUCAGCUCUAUGUAAAAUUCGGGGAUUCGCCAUCCCAUGCUCGCGAUCUUUUAAUAAAUAAUCCAUGUUCUUUAUCAUAUCAUAUUUAUUGCUUUUUACUUUCGAUGGAGUGACACCAGCAAAUUCCCCACCAGGUGCCACUCAAGCUAGCUACGCAAUGUAAUGGAGUCUCCAAAAAUAUCUGAGUGGUUUCCCUAUAUAAAUUUUAUAACGAAAUAAAAUAAUUAUAAUGUAUUAAUAAGUAUUUUGUUUAAUUAGUAAUGAUCACAUAAAUUUGCUAAUGUAUUUAUAAGUACUAUAUCUAGAAACUAGAUGAAAUAAACCUCUGUUGUGAAAAUACAUUUUUCAGGAAAGAAACAACCAACCCCAAUGAAAUAGCAGUUUUAAUAAGACUACAUACCUCCAAUACUUCAGGUGCUGGUACAUUUUCAGCAAGCUUUUCAAGGGCCCAGCUCACAAUAUCGCUGGAAGUUCUUCCUCCAUUAUAGUCUUCUACACUGUCACUUGUCUUCUUACCACCAGCGAAGAACUUGAUGGUCGGGUAUCCUUGCACUUGGUAGCGAGAAGCCAUCAUUUGGUGAACUGUGGCAUCAACGGCCCCGAGUUUUACCUGCAUUUGUUGUAUCACAAUUAUAAUUCUAUACAUUUUAUUAAUUUAUUACAUUUUAUUUUGACUAGAGAUGCUGUGACAUAAUCACAAUUAAACAACAAAUGCCUUGUUUCAUCUCACAUUUUAUAUUGUUAGCUGUCUGUCAUAAUAGCUUGAAAGAAAAUUAAAAAAAAGUAUUAUAGCAUAUGAUAUAAGGUUACUUUGAAACAUUUGAAAUUUUACAUAGGUUAUCUGGAAAUUUUCGGAAAAACAACAUAGUCACAAUUAAUACAAAGUUGUCAAGGAGGCAUUUCUGUCAACCAAUUGAAAAUAGAUAACUAGUAGGCUAAGAAUACUGAAACGUUAAAUGAACUACAUCAAUUUACCUUUCCUUUAAGCUCGGUUGCGGCCUUUGCCCAGUGGGGUUCCAGAUUCUUGCAAUGUCCACACCACGGAGCAUAGAACUCAACAAGCCACAUGUCUUCACUAUCGAGAACCAUCUCCUUGAAAUUGCUGUCUGUUAAAGUGAUAACAUCCGACUGAAAUAGAACGAUGUAUUAAAUAUAAUAUUGAACUGCGAGGUUGAUUAAGCCAAGUAUUUGAUAUUAAUUUUAAAAUAUUAUUUUUUAAUCAAACUUAAUGGGAUAUUAGGAAAGUAUUACUUUCAAUAUAAGAUAUAUAAAAAUGUAUAUUUUUGUAUGAGACUAAUACUAAACAUUCUUUUGUAUUCUUUAAUAGAUUUGAUUUGAAUGCUUCUGUUAAUUAAUUAAUGUUAAUAUUUCAAUUUUACUUCAUAUAACUAGAGAUAAGUUAUUAGCAUUCUGUGUCUUUUCCGAAUUUGAUAAUUGUUAUGGAAUUUACAAAGGCUGAUUUAAAUAAGUGCAAUCUGAUAUACUAUGCUUCGGGUAGACCUGUUUUUUGAUAAGAAAUUGUUGUUUACAUUUUAACUUUACUUAACCAUGGUUAACUUUUAGGUAAUCAAUUAUGAUCCAAGCCAUAUUAUCAUGCUUGUUAUAAUAUUAGCUUUGUAAAUUUAUCAAGUAAUUAUUUUUAGAGAUAAAGUGUCAUUGCCCUGCCCACUUCCUACAUUUUUACAUUGAUUUUUAGUUAAUAUAAUAAUUAAAAUAAAUGGUGAUGGAUUAAAAUAGA
This is a long non-coding RNA of Pieris rapae (cabbage white), 2318 nucleotides long. RefSeq lists it as uncharacterized. The record is from RefSeq and is a predicted model, not a curated record. Lineage: Eukaryota; Metazoa; Arthropoda; Insecta; Lepidoptera; Pieridae. The transcript is spliced from 2 exons.